RNAcentral lists this ribosomal RNA (469 nucleotides) under uncultured Thermomonas sp. RNAcentral's name for it is "bacterial SSU rRNA". It matches the Rfam family "Bacterial small subunit ribosomal RNA", at positions 337 to 798 of the family's 1533-position model. Lineage: Bacteria; Pseudomonadati; Pseudomonadota; Gammaproteobacteria; Lysobacterales; Lysobacteraceae. The record is from RNAcentral.
UCCUACGGGGGGCAGCAGUAGGGAAUAUUGGACAAUGGGCGCAAGCCUGAUCCAGCCAUGCCGCGUGAGUGAAGAAGGCCCUCGGGUUGUAAAGCUCUUUUGUCCGGAAAGAAAUCCCUGUGGUUAAUACCCGCGGGGGAUGACGGUACCGGAAGAAUAAGCACCGGCUAACUUCGUGCCAGCAGCCGCGGUAAUACGAAGGGUGCAAGCGUUACUCGGAAUUACUGGGCGUAAAGCGUGCGUAGGUGGUUCGUUAAGUGUGAUGUGAAAGCCCUGGGGUCAACCUGGGAAUGGCAUUGGAAACUGGCGGGCUAGAGUGCGGUGGAGGGUAGUGGAAUUCCCGGUGUAGCAGGGAAAUGCGUAGAGAUCGGGAGGAACAUCCGUGGCGAAGGCGACUGCCUGGACCAGCACUGACACUGAGGCACGAAAGCGUGGGGAGCAAACAGGAUUAGAUACCCCGGUAGUCCCC